UAGGGAAUCUUCCACAAUGGACGCAAGUCUGAUGGAGCAACGCCGCGUGAGUGAAGAAGGUCUUCGGAUCGUAAAGCUCUGUUGUUGGUGAAGAAGGAUAGAGGCAGUAACUGGUCUUUAUUUGACGGUAAUCAACCAGAAAGUCACGGCUAACUACGUGCCGGCAGCCGCGGUAAUACGUAGGUGGCAAGCGUUGUCCGGAUUUAUUGGGCGUAAAGCGAGCGCAGGCGGAAUGAUAAGUCUGAUGUGAAAGCCCACGGCUCAACCGUGGAACUGCAUCGGAAACUGUCAUUCUUGAGUGCAGAAGAGGAGAGUGGAACUCCAUGUGUAGCGGUGGAAUGCGUAGAUAUAUGGAAGAACACCAGUGGCGAAGGCGGCUCUCUGGUCUGCAACUGACGCUGAGGCUCGAAAGCAUGGGUAGCGAACAGGAUUAGAUACCCUGGUAGUCCAUGCCGUAAACGAUGAGCGCUAGGUGUUGGGGACUUUCCGGUCCUCAG
RNAcentral lists this ribosomal RNA (497 nucleotides) under uncultured bacterium. RNAcentral's name for it is "partial 16S ribosomal RNA". It matches the Rfam family "Bacterial small subunit ribosomal RNA", at positions 355 to 843 of the family's 1533-position model. The record is from RNAcentral.